Molecule: ribosomal RNA, 386 nt
Filed under: uncultured bacterium
Lineage: Bacteria
Description: bacterial SSU rRNA
Rfam family: Bacterial small subunit ribosomal RNA
Source: RNAcentral
GCGAAAGCCUGAUCCAGCAAUACCGCGUGUGUGAAGAAGGCCUUAGGGUUGUAAAGCACUUUCAAUUGGGAGGAAAACCUGCCGGUCAAUACCCGGUAGCUUGACAUUACCUUUAGAAGAAGCACCGGCUAACUCCGUGCCAGCAGCCGCGGUAAUACGGAGGGUGCGAGCGUUAAUCGGAAUUACUGGGCGUAAAGCGUGCGUAGGCGGUUCGUUAAGUCAGAUGUGAAAGCCCUGGGCUCAACCUGGGAACUGCAUUUGAAACUGGCGGGCUAGAGUUUAGUAGAGGGGAGUGGAAUUUCAGGUGUAGCGGUGAAAUGCGUAGAUAUCUGAAGGAACACCAGUGGCGAAGGCGACUCCCUGGACUAGAACUGACGCUGAGGUAC